GGGCAGGGAGCUCGGCCUGUAAGAGCGCCACGUUGGCAUUGUGGAGUCCUACAGGUCCGAGUCCUCACUUGCCCA
Molecule: transfer RNA, 75 nt
Filed under: Chloroflexota bacterium
Lineage: Bacteria; Bacillati; Chloroflexota
Description: Chloroflexi bacterium tRNA-Ala
Source: RNAcentral